CAAUAGCGUAUAUUUAAGUUGUUGCAGUUAAAAAGCUCGUAGUUGGAUUUCGGAUGGGACUUGCCGGUCCGUCGUUUCGAUGUGCACUGGCCAGUCCUAUCUUGUUGUCGGGGACUAGCUCCUGGGCUUCACUGUCCGGGACUAGGAGCUGACGAGGUUACUUUGAGUAAAUUAGAGUGUUCAAAGCAAGCCUACGCUCUGAAUACAUUAGCAUGGAAUAACACGAUAGGACUCUGGCUUAUCUUGUUGGUCUGUGAGACCAGAGUAAUGAUUAAGAGGGACAGUCGGGGGCAUUCGUAUUUCAUUGUCAGAGGUGAAAUUCUUGGAUUUAUGAAAGACGAACUUCUGCGAAGGCAUUUGUCAAGGAUGUUUNCAUUA
This 378-nucleotide ribosomal RNA is filed under the name uncultured eukaryote. RNAcentral's name for it is "partial 18S ribosomal RNA". It matches the Rfam family "Eukaryotic small subunit ribosomal RNA", at positions 592 to 975 of the family's 1831-position model. The record is from RNAcentral.